GAUGAACGCUGGCGGCGUGCCUAAUACAUGCAAGUCGAGCGAACAGACGAGGAGCUUGCUCCUCUGACGUUAACGGCGAACGGGUGAGUAACACGUGGAUAACCUACCUAUAAGACUGGGAUAACUUCGGGAAACCGGAGCUAAUACCGGAUAAUUUAUUGAACCGCAUGGUUCAAGAGUGAAAGACGGUUUUGCUGUCCCUUAUAGAUGGAUCCGCGCCGCGUUAGCUAGUUGGUAAGGUAACGGCUUACCAAGGCGACGAUGCGUAGCCGACCUGAGAGGGUGAUCGGCCACACUGGAACUGAGACACGGUCCAGACUCCUACGGGAGGCAGCAGUAGGGAAUCUUCCGCAAUGGGCGAAAGCUUGACGGAGCAACGCCGCGUGAGUGAUGAAGGUCUUCGGAUCGUAAAACUCUGUUAUUAGGGAAGAACAAAUGUGUAAGUAACUAUGCACGUCUUGACGGUACCUAAUCAGAAAGCCACGGCUAACUACGUG
Molecule: ribosomal RNA, 497 nt
Filed under: uncultured bacterium
Lineage: Bacteria
Description: partial 16S ribosomal RNA
Rfam family: Bacterial small subunit ribosomal RNA
Source: RNAcentral